This 380-nucleotide ribosomal RNA is filed under the name uncultured eukaryote. RNAcentral's name for it is "partial 18S ribosomal RNA". It matches the Rfam family "Eukaryotic small subunit ribosomal RNA", at positions 592 to 976 of the family's 1831-position model. The record is from RNAcentral.
CAAUAGCGUAUAUUAAAGUUGCUGCAGUUAAAAAGCUCGUAGUUGCAUUUCCGAGGCAAGGGAUUAGUCCGACCUUUGGUGGGUAUUUAAUCCUCUUGCCUCGUCCUUGAGUGGUGCUUCUUGGUAUUAAGUUAUCGAGGAGAUAGCCGCUCAUCGUUUACUGUGAGAAAAUUAGAGUGUUCAAAGCAGGCUUAUGCCGUUGAAUAUAUUAGCAUGGAAUAAUAAGAUAGGACCUCGGUACUAUUUUGUUGGUUUGAGGACCAAGGUAAUGAUGAAUAGGGACAGUUGGGGGUAUUCGUAUUCAGUUGUCAGAGGUGAAAUUCUUAGAUUUACGGAAGACGAACUACUGCGAAAGCAUUUACCAAGGAUGUUUUCAUUAA